Long non-coding RNA from Lotus japonicus, 647 nucleotides. RefSeq lists it as uncharacterized. The record is from RefSeq and is a predicted model, not a curated record. The transcript is spliced from 2 exons. Lineage: Eukaryota; Viridiplantae; Streptophyta; Magnoliopsida; Fabales; Fabaceae.
GGGUAUCGGGUUCUUUCCCUAGCUCUCUUCUCUCUCUCUAUCUUCUAUAUUUGGGUAUGCUUGUAACUUUGAACUUUCAAUAAGAAAAACUUGUUUCAGCAGGAUUGAUAGUUGUCAUUCUAGCAAAUUUUGUGGUGAGGACCAAGUCUAUGAGGAAGAAGAGCUCGUUGCAGCCAGUGCUAUUAAACUCGGCUCGGACUAGCCAGUCGAAUCAGUCCGAUCGUGACACACCUUACCGGUUUGAGUCGAUAUUCAGAUCGGUUGUGCAAAUGAACCGGUGAGAACCAUCAGACUCGGUCGGUUUAUACAAAAAAUCGAUGUUCGACCAAACCUUGAUCGAACCGGCGACGACAUACCAUAGUUGAAGACUGAGGAGGAUUUAUGGGCCCCUAGAGAGAGAGAGAGAGAGAGAGAGAGAGAGAGAGAGAGAGAGAGAGAGAGAUUUAUUAUAUACAAAUUAUCAAAAUCUCUUAUGAUCAGACCCGUUUGGAAGAUAUUAUCUGAACUUAUUUUGUAAGAACGCUUAUGAAAGUAUUUGGAAGAACUUAUAUAAAUAGCUUAAGAGUCACUUAUAAGUUGUUUAGAGUUAUUUUCGUAGGUUAUUCGAAUUAGCUUAUUAAUGAGAGCUUAAGUUUAUCUGUAAUCAA